UGCCUACGGGAGGCUGCAGUGGGGAAUUUUGGACAAUGGGGGCAACCCUGAUCCAGCCAUGCCGCGUGAGUGAAGAAGGCCUUCGGGUUGUAAAGCUCUUUCGGCCGGGAAGAAAUCGCACGGGCUAAUACCCUGUGUGGAUGACGGUACCGGAAUAAGAAGCACCGGCUAACUACGUGCCAGCAGCCGCGGUAAUACGUAGGGGGCGAGCGUUAAUCGGAAUUACUGGGCGUAAAGCGUGCGCAGGCGGUUGAGGAAGACAGGCUUGAAAUCCCCGGGCUCAACCUGGGAACUGCGCUUGGGACUGCUAAGCUAGAGUACGGCAGAGGGGGGUGGAAUUCCACGUGUAGCAGUGAAAUGCGUAGAGUUGUGGAGGAACACCGAUGGCGAAGGCAGCCCCCUGGGCCGAUACUGACGCUCAUGCACGAAAGCGUGGGUAGCAAACAGGAUUAGAUACCCCUGUAGUCU
This 468-nucleotide ribosomal RNA is filed under the name uncultured Rhodocyclaceae bacterium. Its description in RNAcentral is "bacterial SSU rRNA". It matches the Rfam family "Bacterial small subunit ribosomal RNA", at positions 335 to 796 of the family's 1533-position model. The record is from RNAcentral. Lineage: Bacteria; Pseudomonadati; Pseudomonadota; Betaproteobacteria; Rhodocyclales; Rhodocyclaceae.